CCUACGGGAGGCUGCAGUGGGGAAUAUUGCACAAUGGGCGCAAGCCUGAUGCAGCCAUGCCGCGUGUGUGAAGAAGGCCUUCGGGUUGUAAAGCACUUUCAGCGGGGAGGAAGGCGUUAAGGUUAAUAACCUUGUCGAUUGACGUUACCCGCAGAAGAAGCACCGGCUAACUCCGUGCCAGCAGCCGCGGUAAUACGGGGGGUGCAAGCGUUAAUCGGAAUUACUGGGCGUAAAGCGCACGCAGGCGGUCUGUCAAGUCGGAUGUGAAAUCCCCGGGCUCAACCUGGGAACUGCAUUCGAAACUGGCAGGCUAGAGUCUUGUAGAGGGGGGUAGAAUUCCAGGUGUAGCGGUGAAAUGCGUAGAGAUCUGGAGGAAUACCGGUGGCGAAGGCGGCCCCCUGGACAAAGACUGACGCUCAGGUGCGGAAGCGUGGGGAGCAAACAGGAUUAGAUACCCCAGUAGUC
RNAcentral lists this ribosomal RNA (465 nucleotides) under uncultured Klebsiella sp. Its description in RNAcentral is "bacterial SSU rRNA". It matches the Rfam family "Bacterial small subunit ribosomal RNA", at positions 338 to 795 of the family's 1533-position model. Lineage: Bacteria; Pseudomonadati; Pseudomonadota; Gammaproteobacteria; Enterobacterales; Enterobacteriaceae. The record is from RNAcentral.